AUUAGCUAGUUGGUGAGGUAAUGGCUCACCAAGGCGACGAUCUCUAGCUGGUCUGAGAGGAUGAUCAGCCACACUGGAACUGAGACACGGUCCAGACUCCUACGGGAGGCAGCAGUGGGGAAUAUUGCACAAUGGGCGCAAGCCUGAUGCAGCCAUGCCGCGUGUGUGAAGAAGGCCUUCGGGUUGUAAAGCACUUUCAGUCGUGAGGAAGGUAGUUGUGUUAAUAGCGCAAUUAUUUGACGUUAGCGACAGAAGAAGCACCGGCUAACUCCGUGCCAGCAGCCGCGGUAAUACGGAGGGUGCGAGCGUUAAUCGGAAUUACUGGGCGUAAAGCGCAUGCAGGUGGUUUGUUAAGUCAGAUGUGAAAGCCCCAGGCUCAACCUGGGAAGGUCAUUUGAAACUGGCAAACUAGAGUACUGUAGAGGGGGGUAGAAUUUCAGGUGUAGCGGUGAAAUGCGUAGAGAUCUGAAGGAAUACCAGUGGCGAAGGCGGCCCCCUGGACAGAUACUGACACUCAGAUGCGAAAGCGUGGGGAGCAAACAGGAUUAGAUACCC
This 555-nucleotide ribosomal RNA is filed under the name Vibrio sp. Its description in RNAcentral is "bacterial SSU rRNA". It matches the Rfam family "Bacterial small subunit ribosomal RNA", at positions 240 to 787 of the family's 1533-position model. RNAcentral also lists the same sequence under 1 other name. Lineage: Bacteria; Pseudomonadati; Pseudomonadota; Gammaproteobacteria; Vibrionales; Vibrionaceae. The record is from RNAcentral.